GUGGAUAUUUGGUGCCAGCACAUACACACUAAGUGCAGAGGGUGUGGUCGAGACCAGAAAUGGUGACGUCACCUGUGUACAAGGGGUGUCAGGAGUGCACAGAACAGAGGGAAAUGGAGGAGAAAGGGAGAUGGACACUGUGCUAAAUCCUCCAGAAUAAGGAAGCUGUCAAUCAUGCCUACACACCAAGAAUACAUCAUCAUAAAUCCAGGUUUUCGUCUGUGAACUAACCUGCCCCCUUUUUUCUGUUUAUCUCUUUCCCUCCUGCUGCGACGUCUCUUCAGAACACAACCACCUGAACAACGCAGCCCUGUCCCCACUGGGUCCCGCCAUGGCGCUGUCUCACCCUCACAACAACCUGGGCAUCGGCUUCAACAAGUACACGUCACUCAAAACCAUGGACACUGGACCCAGAGACUAUUACAAGAGCUACCCCAUGAUGGACUACAGCCCACGCCAGACCACCAGCCCACCCACCUUCCAACCCAUCGCCUUCCACCCCAAAGACAAGCCCUUCCUGCCUCCUCCAGAUAUCCACGCCCCCUUGGCCAUCACCAUCACUCCGGCCCAGCUGCCCAAGCCCAAGAUCUCCAAGACCAACACCCACCCGCUCACCUCCAGCUCGGCCUUCAAAGCCUGGGACCCCAGUAAGAGCCACAUGCAGCACCAGGUCCCCCACCUGGGGGGACAGCAGCAGCAGCAGCAGCCGCCGCAGUCUCAGGCCAACAGCCGCCAUCAGGCCUACGCCAGCAAGCGGCAGUUCAGCAUCGAGACGCUGCCGGAGCUCUUCUCACAGCCUCUGGGCUACGGACAGUCCCCACACUUGCACCCCAAGCACAAAGGACUCCCCACAAACAGUAAGACUGAGGUGACGGUCUGAGGGCGAACAGAGAGGCGGGAGAAUGAGAGACGCCAGAGCGGAGCACCUCUUGCCUUUGGUUGGCGAUGACAACACGAAUAAAUUAAAAAAAAAAAAAAAAAAAGUCUUACUCCCAUGAUUCCCCUUGUUCCCCCGCCGCCCUAGUCCUGGCCAAAUGGCGGCACGUGCUCGCAGCCUGUCAGCGGCCCACACUCUGAAGCCCGCAGCGUGGACCGUGCCAUCGCGCCGUUGUCACCAGUCAGCAGCGCGAGGCGUCACCCUGACAAGUCUGUGCGGCGGCGUGGCGCCCGUCAGGCCGCGCCAGGAUCCGGGUCUUCGUGUCACCGUGCCAGACACCGGCUCCACAGUGACUCGCCCGCUGUUUCGGGUGUCUGGUGCAAGAGCUCGUGGAGGAAGACUUGCAUCCACCAAUAUGUCCAGCGAAUCAUUUCAACGCAUGCAAAGCUACUUCCUGUACGCGCUGUACAACUAACACGGAUACGAAUAUUUUAUUGUAUGCUUAUUUACGACUCCUUUAUAUGAGAAAGAAAGGUUGCCGACUGCUGCGAAAUUAGCACCAGCACCCCAUCGGCAAUCGAUCUGCAGCACCCUUGCAUGCGCAGUCGGUUACCAAGCCAUUACUUUUGCAUGGUCAAGAUCUGCCUCUAGAUACCAACCAACAUCCUUCAGCCAGCACCUCCUACACCUCCAGCGCCGAGGUAUGAGGGGCGCAACACCUACCAGAACCUUCAUCGAUCUGGUAGGACAUGAUGAGGGAUGUGGACUCUGUUCCUCAGCGUUCUCCUGGCCCUCUGGCAGCACCGUGCACCAUUGUGGGGUCCAUGCCACAAUACCCACAUACAAGGACAGGCCGCUAAACAAGGGCCUACGGAGCACCGACUGCUUUGAAGUUAUUAAAAGCGUGAUUGCUAUGCAAAAAGAAUUGCAUUUUACUUUUAGCAAGGAAGACAAGCGCAUAUUUACGCCAGCCAUACAAUGCAAGCCGUAGAUGUUUACCAGCACUGCCCAGGAGCCACACUGGAGAAGGAACGUGGAACAGACGCUGGCAACACCGUAAUCUUUACAUAUUCGCUGAAGAUAAAAACAUGUUUACGCACAUCCUAUAGCCAAUCACACGGACAUCUCUCCAUCUCUUCCUCCAGCUGUUGAAGAACUGCACUACCCUGAGACUCUACAGCUGAGACUCUUCACCUGGUGUGUGGGCAUGAGGGAGACCAUUUAUCCCUCAGAUCUCUGCCAAAAACAUGUGACAGUGUGAACCCUUUAGCAAAAUGUUCCAGGCUAACAGCUCCCUAAAAGCUCCUUCUGGUCCCGGCGCCUCACAUUCGGGGUGGAACUAGAGGCGUUUGAGGCGUGAACAUUAAGAAACUUUUGAAAAACUGCUUCUCAGUCUCCUCAGCAAGGCUGAAAACGGCAUUUCAGGCAAUAAGGGUGAAAUACUCUGGGGACGGUUUUACCUGUCCGUGCAAAAGGCAGACUUUAAUGUCCUCUAGAAGAGCAGACAUGACCGGGGGGGGGCCUGUCCGCUGCACAGAAGUCACUUUUGUCACUCGACUUGCCGGGGCCAGCUGACCACAUGGCUCCAGCCGUGUUUUGCAGGUGUCAGAACCCUCAAGGUUUGUCCGUGGGAUAGAAAACUGAGAUAGAAACACUGAGCAAUCACAGACCCCAGAGUCCUUUUCGCUGCGCAGCGCGUGGACAUACCUGUGAGGACCUCCUGUCCAAGUGCACUGAAGGACAAGGGUGUGGGACCAAAACGACCUGAAAUCAUGUGAGGUUGAGUACAUGCAUGCACCCUGGUGCUUUUUAACCAACGGCGCGCUGUACAUAUUUGUUUGUGGUGAAGAACUCUGGUCCACCAGAGGGGCAUGCAUACUCAAUCUCUGGUGAUUGCUUUGGAAAAAAAGAGCUAAAUGACUGUUUCCUUUGUAAAACUUGCCCGAGCACAAGUAUCCUACAUGAGCUCAGAAUGCAGCCUUGUAGGCCAUACUUGUGGUCCCUCUGCAGCAAUAUACUGUACACUGAUUUUCUUCUCGGUUUUGUAUGCUCUUCGUAUAUCCAAGGUUGUGUCAAAUAUGUAGCACUUGACAAAAACGUAGCAGGCGAAGUGCUUCCAAAUUUUUCAAUGCACUUUUGAGCAAGUCCCCUCCUGUCCUUGAACGUAUCUUGCUGUAUUUGAUGCUUGGGGCCACUUACGGGUCCACCUGUGUGAUACAUACGUCCAUGUAAUCGAAAUCGCAUCGUGCUCCAGCGCUUGGGCUACAUGUUAGUUAGAUUUGUCGUGUGCCGUGUAAAUCUGCCCGUCGCCAGUUCUUCCGUGGUGGACUUUCUUAAGCGUUGUUUCUACAAGGGCUUUCAACAGAGAAUUCGUUCCCCUCUGGCUCGGAGAGGGGGAAGAAAGCACUCCUUCAUCUCACAGGCUGCUGGAAGGUUAACCCAGAUUGCCACGUCAAAGCUAAUCUGCUCAGACGUCGUCUCGGAUUCGGCUGCGCGCAGUUCUGUGGGUCAUUAUCUGGCAAAAGCGUUUAAGACCUCAGGAAAACGAGAGCUUUUCUGACAACCUUCAAGGCCCAAGUGAAGGGUCUCUUGUCAUCGGCCCGUGAGCCCCCACCAUCUGUUUUCAGCAGCACCAUGGAGUCCCUGAAAAUCUCCCCAAAAUUGAAAACGUAUUUGGUUUUGUAAGCUGUAUGGGCGGCACCACUCUGGGACCAAACCGCAACCCGAGAAAAACAUUUAACGUACACUGCCUGGGUGGUGGGGGGCGCCGUUUGUACCACAAACUUACUAUCAAACAUGUUGAAGACCCACAUAAGGCCUCCAAAGAGCCGCCCAGCGCCUGCAGGACUUCUGGUACGCUGGACGCAUCACACGUGCCGUCGUACCAGGUUGCUGUACCAUGAUGAUGAUCAUGAUGAUGAUGGUGUUAAAAAAUCCUCCCAAAGAUGUUGAGAGCUGAGAUCUGCUGACUGAAGGUCAUAUCAUACGAUCGCCAUCAUUUUCACACUCAUCAACCAAUCCGUGAUGCUUGUGUCUGGUGGACGGGGGUGUGGCCUUCGCAGGAUAAACCAAUCGGUAGCAACCAUUAUAUUGAUUGGCAGGGAUACCAGAGCUUUUGGGCCAUUUUGGAGUGCCUCCAACUGGACAACAUGCAUUUUGGGCCACCCGACAGCCCCGCCCCUUCCUUCCUUCAUCAGAACGGCGUCCUUCUCCUUCAAAUGCAGUCCUUUGUCCCCAAAUGCAUUAGAGCAUGGCACUUCUCCAAACACCGCCCCUUUCUUCUCGUUUUCCCCUCUACAAACACCAAGACGCUCAGACUCACCUACAAAACACGAUCCGUCUCACAUGCAGCUACUACUUAUUAUUAUUAUUAAGCACAGAGAAAUCAUCAGAAUCAGUGAUUUUACCUUUAUAUUCAAGCAGAAAUGAUCAAUAUGAAUGAAAUUGGGCCAUCUGGGUCUGUUUGGGGCUUCAAGGUCACCCACUCCUCCUCUCCCUGCAUGGACUGGUGGGCACCCAGCUGCUGCUGCGUCUUCAGGGCCUGCACUACAUCCAUCCGCGUGGGAGAAGGGAGGAGAGGAAUCACCGCGACACCAGUCGCCCAAGGCUCAUCUGCCGCCUGUCCACCCUCUGUGCUUUUUAUUCUUCUGCCCUCCAUCCUCCUCCUCUUUUUGUCUCAUCCCAUGUUCUUCCACUACAGUAGAGGACUGCGUCAGACAAAGCAAAAUAAGAAGAACCGCCCGUAGGUUGUCCUGCAGGUCCUGGGUUCAGGUUCAGGUUUGUGUUGAGUGCAAUAAAAAGCUUCCACUUUCAGGGAAUAACGGAGCUGGAAGGACUGUGCUGAACUGUGGUGGAGCUCCUGGUGAUGUUCAACCAGGUCCAUGAAGAACCUUCACAUACCGAAGCCACAAAGAAAGACAUAAACCACCACCGAUCACGGCUCAGUUUCUAAGCAUAAAGAGUCAACGUCAG
This is a long non-coding RNA of Denticeps clupeoides (denticle herring), 4849 nucleotides long. The record is from Ensembl. NCBI's taxonomy places the organism in Eukaryota, Metazoa, Chordata, Actinopteri, Clupeiformes, Denticipitidae.